Molecule: ribosomal RNA, 693 nt
Filed under: uncultured bacterium
Lineage: Bacteria
Description: bacterial SSU rRNA
Rfam family: Bacterial small subunit ribosomal RNA
Source: RNAcentral
AACGCUAGCACAGGCUUAACACAUGCGAGUCGAGGGGCAGCAUGGUCUUAGCUUGCUAAGGCCGAUGGCGACCGGCGCACGGGUGAGUAACACGUAUCCAACCUGCCGUCUACUCUUGGACAGCCUUCUGAAAGGAAGAUUAAUACAAGAUGGCAUCAUGAGUCCGCAUGUUCACAUGAUUAAAGGUAUUCCGGUAGACGAUGGGGAUGCGUUCCAUUAGAUAGUAGGCGGGGUAACGGCCCACCUAGUCUUCGAUGGAUAGGGGUUCUGAGAGGAAGGUCCCCCACAUUGGAACUGAGACACGGUCCAAACUCCUACGGGAGGCAGCAGUGAGGAAUAUUGGUCAAUGGGCGAGAGCCUGAACCAGCCAAGUAGCGUGAAGGAUGACUGCCCUAUGGGUUGUAAACUUCUUUUAUAAAGGAAUAAAGUCGGGUAUGGAUACCCGUUUGCAUGUACUUUAUGGAUAAGGAUCGGCUAACUCCGUGCCAGCAGCCGCGGUAAUACGGAGGAUCCGAGCGUUAUCCGGAUUUAUUGGGUUUAAAGGGAGCGUAGAUGGAUGUUUAAGUCAGUUGUGAAAGUUUGCGGCUCAACCGUAAAAUUGCAGUUGAUACUGGAUAUCUUGAGUGCAGUUGAGGCAGGCGGAAUUCGUGGUGUAGCGGUGAAAUGCUUAGAUAUCACGAAGAACUCCGAUUG